This is a long non-coding RNA of Apis florea (little honeybee), 413 nucleotides long. Lineage: Eukaryota; Metazoa; Arthropoda; Insecta; Hymenoptera; Apidae. The record is from RefSeq and is a predicted model, not a curated record.
UCAUGUCGAUUCGGAUUUUUCAUCCUGUGACAUGAUUGAGCGACUGAAGGAACAAAAAUGCAUGCGACUCACCAUUAGAUACGAAGAAUCUACGUUGCCAUUAAUGCAUCGUGAAAAUUGUUGUCAGUUGUCAAGAUCGUGAAAAAAAUACCUUUGCAUGGAUGAUCGUUUUAACCUCUUGAGAGAAACACUAACUAGAUUAUACAUAUACAUACUCAAAACAUUAAAAAAAAAAAAAUUAAUCAAUGGGUACAAAUAACAAUCACUGACUCUAACUUUACGUAUCCUCUAAAGAAUUAAAAAUACUACGUAACAAAUAGAGAACAUAUGCACACGGUACAUCAUGGCGUCUAUAUAUUGAAAAUUUUCCCGCACUCGAAUUCAUCAGCAAUCAGCUAAUAAUCUGUACAAAA